This is a small nuclear RNA of Molossus molossus (Pallas's mastiff bat), 106 nucleotides long. The record is from RefSeq and is a predicted model, not a curated record. Lineage: Eukaryota; Metazoa; Chordata; Mammalia; Chiroptera; Molossidae.
GUGCUCAUUUCAGCAGUACAUGUAUUAAAAUUGCAACAAUACAGAGAAGAUCAACAUGGCCCCUGCCAAGGAUGACAUGCAAACUAAUGAGCAUUCCAUGAUUUUU